GACGAACGCUGGCGGCGUGCUUAACACAUGCAAGUCGAACGGUAAGGCUCCAGCUUGCUGGGGUACACGAGUGGCGAACGGGUGAGUAACACGUGGGUGACCUGCCCUGCACUUCGGGAUAAGCCUGGGAAACUGGGUCUAAUACCGGAUAGGACCGCACCGUGAGGGUGUGGUGGAAAGUUUUUUCGGUGUGGGAUGGGCCCGCGGCCUAUCAGCUUGUUGGUGGGGUAAUGGCCUACCAAGGCGGCGACGGGUAGCCGGCCUGAGAGGGUGGACGGCCACAUUGGGACUGAGACACGGCCCAGACUCCUACGGGAGGCAGCAGUGGGGAAUAUUGCACAAUGGGCGGAAGCCUGAUGCAGCGACGCCGCGUGGGGGAUGACGGCCUUCGGGUUGUAAACUCCUUUCACCAUCGACGAAGGGUUUCUGACGGUAGAUGGAGAAGAAGCACCGGCUAACUACGUGCCAGCAGCCGCGGUAAUACGUAGGGUGCGAGCGUUGUCCGGAAUUACUGGGCGUAAAGAGCUCGUAGGUGGUUUGUCGCGUCGUCUGUGAAAUUCCGGGGCUUAACUCCGGGCGUGCAGGCGAUACGGGCAUAACUUGAGUACUGUAGGGGAGACUGGAAUUCCUGGUGUAGCGGUGAAAUGCGCAGAUAUCAGGAGGAACACCGGUGGCGAAGGCGGGUCUCUGGGCAGUAACUGACGCUGAGGAGCGAAAGCAUGGGGAGCGAACAGGAUUAGGUACCCUGGUAGUCCAUGCCGUAAACGGUGGGCGCUAGGUGUGGGUUUCCUUCCACGGGAUCCGUGCCGUAGCUAACGCAUUAAGCGCCCCGCCUGGGGAGUACGGCCGCAAGGCUAAAACUCAAAGGAAUUGACGGGGGCCCGCACAAGCGGCGGAGCAUGUGGAUUAAUUCGAUGCAACGCGAAGAACCUUACCUGGGCUUGACAUAUACAGGAUCGCGCCAGAGAUGGUGUUUCCCUUGUGGCUUGUAUACAGGUGGUGCAUGGUUGUCGUCAGCUCGUGUCGUGAGAUGUUGGGUUAAGUCCCGCAACGAGCGCAACCCUUGUCUUAUGUUGCCAGCACGUUGUGGUGGGGACUCGUAAGAAACUGCCGGGGUUAACUCGGAGGAAGGUGGGGAUGACGUCAAAUCAUCAUGCCCCUUAUGCCCAGGGCUUCACACAUGCUACAAUGGUCGGUACAGUGGGUUGCCAGUCCGUGAGGGCGAGCUAAUCCCGCAAAGCCGGUCUCAGUUCGGAUCGGGGUCUGCAACUCGACCCCGUGAAGUCGGAGUCGCUAGUAAUCGCAGAUCAGCAACGCUGCGGUGAAUACGUUCCCGGGCCU
RNAcentral lists this ribosomal RNA (1341 nucleotides) under uncultured bacterium. Its description in RNAcentral is "partial 16S ribosomal RNA". It matches the Rfam family "Bacterial small subunit ribosomal RNA", at positions 28 to 1381 of the family's 1533-position model. The record is from RNAcentral.